Molecule: long non-coding RNA, 240 nt
Organism: Mauremys reevesii (Reeves's turtle)
Lineage: Eukaryota; Metazoa; Chordata; Testudines; Geoemydidae
Exons: 2
Source: RefSeq, a predicted model, not a curated record
AAAUGGGAGUUCUGCCAUAGAUUUUAAUGGGGCCAGGAUUUCACUCACAGCUUCUGGAGACUGAAGGAAAGGGUGUUUUUCAAGGGGCAAAUCUCUAACAGAUGGGUUGAACUUUUUGCUUCAAAGCAUCUUAUAAAAGCAGCAUGAAGGAACAGGGCAGAGGGAAGACGGAAUAUGCAGAAUAAAGGCUCUAAUAAAUGUAUUGGAAGACUUUCCUGACAGCCUGUUGAAAACACAAAA